AUUGAACGCUGGCGGCAGGCUUAACACAUGCAAGUCGAGCGGGGGAAGGUAGCUUGCUACCGGACCUAGCGGCGGACGGGUGAGUAAUGCUUAGGAAUCUGCCUAUUAGUGGGGGACAACAUCUCGAAAGGGAUGCUAAUACCGCAUACGUCCUAUGGGAGAAAGCAGGGGAUCUUCGGACCUUGCGCUAAUAGAUGAGCCUAAGUCGGAUUAGCUAGUUGGUGGGGUAAAGGCCUACCAAGGCGACGAUCUGUAGCGGGACUGAGAGGAUGAUCCGCCACACUGGGACUGAGAAACGGCCCAGACUCCUACGGGAGGCAGCAGUGGGGAAUAUUGGACAAUGGGGGGAACCCUGAUCCAGCCAUGCCGCGUGUGUGAAGAAGGCCUUAUGGUUGUAAAGCACUUUAAGCGAGGAGGAGGCUACUUUAGUUAAUACCUAGAGAUAGUGGACGUUACUCGCAGAAUAAGCACCGGCUAACUCUGUGCCAGCCGCCGCAGUAA
RNAcentral lists this ribosomal RNA (501 nucleotides) under uncultured bacterium. Its description in RNAcentral is "partial 16S ribosomal RNA". It matches the Rfam family "Bacterial small subunit ribosomal RNA", at positions 30 to 523 of the family's 1533-position model. The record is from RNAcentral.